UAUCCUUAUGUUGUUAUUGCAUACAAAAUUUUAUUAACCAUUCAUGUGACAUUUGCAUAUGUGAAAAUGACUUUUUCUAAACUCAAGUUGUUGAAAUCCUACUCGAGUUCUACUAUGACACAAGAAAGACUCAAUGGAUUGGCAACAAUAGCACUUGAAAAUGAUGUCUUGGAGAAGAUUAAUAGAUAUGAAGAUUUGAUCAAAGAUUUCAUUUAA
RNAcentral lists this ribosomal RNA (216 nucleotides) under Triticum aestivum (bread wheat). RNAcentral describes it as "partial small subunit ribosomal RNA". The record is from RNAcentral. Lineage: Eukaryota; Viridiplantae; Streptophyta; Magnoliopsida; Poales; Poaceae.